UGUGGAGGAACACCCCCGGCGAACGCGGCUUUUUUGUCUGUCACUGACGCUGACGCGCGAAAGCGUGGGGAGCAAACAGGAUUAGAUACCCUGGUAGUCCACGCCGCAAACGAUGAGUGCUAAGUGUUAGAGGGUUUCCGCCCCUUAGUGCUGCAGCUAACGCAUUAAGCACUCCGCCUGGGGAGUACGGUCGCAAGACUGAAACUCAAAGGAAUUGACGGGGGCCCGCACAAGCGGUGGAGCAUGUGGUUUAAUUCUUAGCUACGCGAAGAACCUUACCAGGUCUUGACAUCCUCGGACAACUCUAGAGACAGAGCGUUCCCCUUCGGGGGACAGAGUGACAGGUGGUGCAUGGUUGUCGUCAGCUCGUGUCGUGAGAUGUUGGGUUAAGUCCCGCAACGAGCGCAACCCUUGAUCUUAGUUGCCAGCAUUAAGUUGGAGCACUCUAAGGGUGACUGCCGGUGACAAACCGGAGGAAGGGGGGGAUGACGUCAAAUCAUCAUGCCCCUUAUG
This 513-nucleotide ribosomal RNA is filed under the name Priestia megaterium. RNAcentral describes it as "bacterial SSU rRNA". It matches the Rfam family "Bacterial small subunit ribosomal RNA", at positions 697 to 1206 of the family's 1533-position model. The record is from RNAcentral. Lineage: Bacteria; Bacillati; Bacillota; Bacilli; Caryophanales; Bacillaceae.